UCCUCCUGUUCUCCACACCUGCACUCACUUCCCUCGUCAUCUCCCCAUCAUCACAGAUCAUCUUCACCUGGACCUCCUCGUCAGCACGCCCCAUAUAAUGGACUCACUCCCUUUACUCCCUGUCCGUUCUUUGUUGUGGCUUAACUUGUGUAUCGUGUAUACUCUCCUGCAGUCUCUAUUAAAACCCUGUAUAGUGGAUGUCUGUUUAAGUCUUGUCUCUCCUGCACUACACACCGGUGAAGUGCUGUCCACAACACACACAACAGAUCUGACAAAAGCAGAAAACUGCUGUGAGAUGGUUGCUGUGUUGAAGAAGGUAAUUGUUCUGCAGGUGCUCAUCCCGUCUGGGACGCCAAAUUACAGCUUGAUAUCAAACAGGGAAGCAUAAAAAUGUGUGUUUCACAUGAUGACAAUGAUAUUGGCAUGCUGUGAUAGUGAGAGGGAAGUACUUCUGGGCAUAAUACUGACCUGGAGAACAGAUGUGAAGAAAAAUACUACAUCAUAACACCUUUAUUACCUCUUCCCAUUUUGAUCAAAUUCAGUCUUUCUUUCUUGUAAAUGAAUCCAAAAAACGAAAAUGUUUUGCAGAGCAAAAUGUUCCAGGGGGCUUAAAAUAUUGACAUCAUCUCUGGUGAGCUCCAUGGAGCUUGAAAGAAAGUACACAUGGAAAAUGUGCUCUCUUCAUCUAAUAUGUCCAACUAUGCACAGUCUUUGUUAAUGUUGCGGUUUGCUUGGUUAGCAACUGACAGUGCCUCAUAACACUCAGAAUCUCAGAUGCUAUAAGUGUGCACUGAACUGCAAAAAGACUGCCCAGGAAACCAUGGCCCAUCAAACUAGCUCCAAUUUUCUCAUGUCAGCAGGAACACAUCAACAUAGAUGGUUUUACCUUUGUGACAGCUGGGUACUUUGGCUUUUUUUUA
This is a long non-coding RNA of Megalobrama amblycephala (Wuchang bream), 920 nucleotides long. RefSeq lists it as uncharacterized. The transcript has 3 exons. Lineage: Eukaryota; Metazoa; Chordata; Actinopteri; Cypriniformes; Xenocyprididae. The record is from RefSeq and is a predicted model, not a curated record.